Molecule: non-coding RNA, 30 nt
Filed under: Mus musculus (house mouse)
Lineage: Eukaryota; Metazoa; Chordata; Mammalia; Rodentia; Muridae
Source: RNAcentral
UUCUACAAACUCUUUCUCUCAAUAGUUAGU